This 442-nucleotide ribosomal RNA is filed under the name uncultured Alphaproteobacteria bacterium. RNAcentral's name for it is "bacterial SSU rRNA". It matches the Rfam family "Bacterial small subunit ribosomal RNA", at positions 29 to 505 of the family's 1533-position model. Lineage: Bacteria; Pseudomonadati; Pseudomonadota; Alphaproteobacteria. The record is from RNAcentral.
AAUGAACGCUGGCGGCAGGCUUAACACAUGCAAGUCGAGCGAGAACGGCACUUCGGUGCUUAUUAGAGCGGCAAACGGGUGAGUAACACGUGGGAACAUACCUUUCAGUCUGGAAUAGCCAUUGGAAACGAUGAUUAAUGCCGGAUACGGACUACGGUCGAAAGAUUUAUCGCUGAAAGAUUGGCCCGCGCUAGAUUAGCUAGUUGGUAAGGUAACGGCUUACCAAGGCUACGAUCUAUAGCUGGUUUGAGAGGAUGAUCAGCCACACUGGGACUGAGAUACGGCCCAGACUCCUACGGGAGGCAGCAGUGAGGAAUAUUGCACAAUGGAGGAAACUCUGAUGCAGCCAUGCCGCGUGUAUGAUGAAGGCCCUAGGGUUGUAAAGUACUUUUAGUGGGGAAGAUAAUGACGGUACCCACAGAAAAAGCCCCGGCUAACUUCG